RNAcentral lists this ribosomal RNA (1279 nucleotides) under Escherichia coli. Its description in RNAcentral is "partial 23S ribosomal RNA". It matches the Rfam family "Bacterial large subunit ribosomal RNA", at positions 1043 to 2305 of the family's 2925-position model. The record is from RNAcentral. Lineage: Bacteria; Pseudomonadati; Pseudomonadota; Gammaproteobacteria; Enterobacterales; Enterobacteriaceae.
GGUCCCAAAGUCAUGGUUAAGUGGGAAACGAUGUGGGAAGGCCCAGACAGCCAGGAUGUUGGCUUAGAAGCAGCCAUCAUUUAAAGAAAGCGUAAUAGCUCACUGGUCGAGUCGGCCUGCGCGGAAGAUGUAACGGGGCUAAACCAUGCACCGAAGCUGCGGCAGCGACACUAUGUGUUGUUGGGUAGGGGAGCGUUCUGUAAGCCUGUGAAGGUGUACUGUGAGGUAUGCUGGAGGUAUCAGAAGUGCGAAUGCUGACAUAAGUAACGAUAAAGCGGGUGAAAAGCCCGCUCGCCGGAAGACCAAGGGUUCCUGUCCAACGUUAAUCGGGGCAGGGUGAGUCGACCCCUAAGGCGAGGCCGAAAGGCGUAGUCGAUGGGAAACAGGUUAAUAUUCCUGUACUUGGUGUUACUGCGAAGGGGGGACGGAGAAGGCUAUGUUGGCCGGGCGACGGUUGUCCCGGUUUAAGCGUGUAGGCUGGUUUUCCAGGCAAAUCCGGAAAAUCAAGGCUGAGGCGUGAUGACGAGGCACUACGGUGCUGAAGCAACAAAUGCCCUGCUUCCAGGAAAAGCCUCUAAGCAUCAGGUAACAUCAAAUCGUACCCCAAACCGACACAGGUGGUCAGGUAGAGAAUACCAAGGCGCUUGAGAGAACUCGGGUGAAGGAACUAGGCAAAAUGGUGCCGUAACUUCGGGAGAAGGCACGCUGAUAUGUAGGUGAAGCGACUUGCUCGUGGAGCUGAAAUCAGUCGAAGAUACCAGCUGGCUGCAACUGUUUAUUAAAAACACAGCACUGUGCAAACACGAAAGUGGACGUAUACGGUGUGACGCCUGCCCGGUGCCGGAAGGUUAAUUGAUGGGGUUAGCGGUAACGCGAAGCUCUUGAUCGAAGCCCCGGUAAACGGCGGCCGUAACUAUAACGGUCCUAAGGUAGCGAAAUUCCUUGUCGGGUAAGUUCCGACCUGCACGAAUGGCGUAAUGAUGGCCAGGCUGUCUCCACCCGAGACUCAGUGAAAUUGAACUCGCUGUGAAGAUGCAGUGUACCCGCGGCAAGACGGAAAGACCCCGUGAACCUUUACUAUAGCUUGACACUGAACAUUGAGCCUUGAUGUGUAGGAUAGGUGGGAGGCUUUGAAGUGUGGACGCCAGUCUGCAUGGAGCCGGCCUUGAAAUACCACCCUUUAAUGUUUGAUGUUCUAACGUUGGCCCCUGAUCGGGGUUGCGGACAGUGUCUGGUGGGUAGUUUGACUGGGGCGGUCUCCUCCUAAAGAGUAACGGAG